UCUUCGGGGAUGAUUAAACCGGCGCACGGGUGAGUAACACGUGAGUGACCUGCCUUUUAGACUGGAACAACUUACCGAAAGGUGAGCUAAUGCCGGAUGAGUUAUAUAAGUGCAUGUUUAUAUAGGAAAAGUUGGGGAGACCUGACGCUGAAAGAUGGACUCGCGUCCCAUUAGCUAGUUGGUAGGGUAAUGGCCUACCAAGGCGACGAUGGGUAGCCGGCCUGAGAGGGUGGCCGGCCACACUGGGACUGAGACACGGCCCAGACUCCUACGGGAGGCAGCAGUGGGGAAUUUUGCGCAAUGCUCGUAAGAGUGACGCAGCGACGCCGCGUGAAUGACGAAGGCCUUCGGGUCGUAAAGUUCUUUCGACAGGGAAGAAAAUGCCUAUAAGUAACUGUGUAUGUAUUGACGGUACCUGUAUAAGCAGCCCCGGCUAACUCCGUGCCAGCAGCCGCGGUAAUACGGAGGGGGCGAGCGUUGUUCGGAGUGACUGGGCGUAAAGAGCACGUAGGCGGUGUUGUAAGUCAUUAGUCAAAGACUAGAGCUCAACUUUAGUAAGGCUAGUAAUACUAUAAUACUAGAGUAUCAGAGAGGAUUGCAGAAUUCCUGGUGUAGCGGUGAAAUGCGUAGAUAUCAGGAGGAAUACCGUUAGCGAAGGCGGCAAUCUGGCUGGAAACUGACGCUGAGGUGCGAAAGCGUGGGUAGCAAACAGGAUUAGAUACCCUGGUAGUCCACGCUGUAAACGAUGGAUGCUAGGUGUUGGGCUUUU
This 769-nucleotide ribosomal RNA is filed under the name uncultured bacterium. Its description in RNAcentral is "bacterial SSU rRNA". It matches the Rfam family "Bacterial small subunit ribosomal RNA", at positions 77 to 832 of the family's 1533-position model. The record is from RNAcentral.